AUUGAACGCUGGCGGCAUGCCUUACACAUGCAAGUCGAACGGCAGCACGGGUGCUUGCACCUGGUGGCGAGUGGCGAACGGGUGAGUAAUACAUCGGAACAUGUCCUGUAGUGGGGGAUAGCCCGGCGAAAGCCGGAUUAAUACCGCAUACGAUCUACGGAUGAAAGCGGGGGACCUUCGGGCCUCGCGCUAUAGGGUUGGCCGAUGGCUGAUUAGCUAGUUGGUGGGGUAAAGGCCUACCAAGGCGACGAUCAGUAGCUGGUCUGAGAGGACGACCAGCCACACUGGGACUGAGACACGGCCCAGACUCCUACGGGAGGCAGCAGUGGGGAAUUUUGGACAAAGGGCGAAAGCCUGAUCCAGCAAUGCCGCGUGUGUGAAGAAGGCCUUCGGGUUGUAAAGCACUUUUGCCCGGAAAGAAAUCCUUGGCCCUAAUACGGUCGGGGGAUGACGGUACCGGAAGAAUAAGCACCGGCUAACUACGUG
Molecule: ribosomal RNA, 486 nt
Filed under: uncultured bacterium
Lineage: Bacteria
Description: partial 16S ribosomal RNA
Rfam family: Bacterial small subunit ribosomal RNA
Source: RNAcentral